This 450-nucleotide ribosomal RNA is filed under the name uncultured bacterium. Its description in RNAcentral is "partial 16S ribosomal RNA". It matches the Rfam family "Bacterial small subunit ribosomal RNA", at positions 338 to 795 of the family's 1533-position model. The record is from RNAcentral.
CCUACGGGGGGCUGCAGUGGGGAAUCUUGCGCAAUGGACGAAAGUCUGACGCAGCGACGCCGCGUGAGUGAUGAAGGCCUUCGGGUUGUAAAGCUCUGUGGGGAGAGACGAAUAAGGUGCAGUUAAUAUCUGCAUCGAUGACGGUACCUCCUUAGCAAGCACCGGCUAACUCUGUGCCAGCAGCCGCGGUAAGACAGAGGGUGCAAACGUUGGUCGGAAUCACGGGGCGUAAGGCAGAUGUGGCGGGUCUGAAAGCCCCGGGCUCAACCUGGGAAGUGCAUUCGAUACUGUUUGACUUGAGUACUGGAGAGGUUGGUGGAAUUCUCGGUGUAGAGGUGAAAUUCGUAGAUAUCGGGAAGAACAUCUGUGGCGAAGGCGGCCAACUGGACAGAUACUGACGCUGAGACACGAAAGCGUGGGGAGCAAACAGGAUUAGAUACCCCAGUAGUC